RNAcentral lists this ribosomal RNA (303 nucleotides) under uncultured bacterium. Its description in RNAcentral is "partial 16S ribosomal RNA". It matches the Rfam family "Bacterial small subunit ribosomal RNA", at positions 507 to 807 of the family's 1533-position model. The record is from RNAcentral.
AGCAGCCGCCACGGGAAUACGUAGGGUGCAAGCGUUAAUCGGAAUUACUGGGCGUAAAGCGUGCGCAGGCGGUUAUAUAAGACAGAUGUGAAAUCCCCGGGCUCAACCUGGGAACUGCAUUUGUGACUGUAUAGCUAGAGUACGGCAGAGGGGGAUGGAAUUCCGCGUGUAGCAGUGAAAUGCGUAGAUAUGCGGAGGAACACCGAUGGCGAAGGCAAUCCCCUGGGCCUGUACUGACGCUCAUGCACGAAAGCGUGGGGAGCAAACAGGAUUAGAUACCCGCGUAGUCCCUGUCUCUUAUAC